UGAACGCUGGCGGCGUGCCUAAUACAUGCAAGUCGAGCGAACAGACGAGGAGCUUGCUCCUCUGACGUUAGCGGCGGACGGGUGAGUAACAAGUGGAAAACCUACCUAUAAGAAUGGGAUAACUUCGGGAAACCGGAGCUAAUACCGGAUAAUAUAUUGAACCGCAUGGUUCAAUAGUGAAAGACGGUUUUGCUGUCACUUAUAGAUGGAUCCGCGCCGCAUUAGCUAGUUGGUAAGGUAACGGCUUACCAAGGCAACGAUGCGUAGCCGACCUGAGAGGGUGAUCGGCCACACUGGAACUGAGACACGGUCCAGACUCCUACGGGAGGCAGCAGUAGGGAAUCUUCCGCAAUGGGCGAAAGCCUGACGGAGCAACGCCGCGUGAGUGAUGAAGGUCUUCGGAUCGUAAAACUCUGUUAUUAGGGAAGAACAAAUGUGUAAGUAACUAUGCACGUCUUGACGGUACCUAAUCAGAAAGCCACGGCUAACUACGUG
Molecule: ribosomal RNA, 495 nt
Filed under: uncultured bacterium
Lineage: Bacteria
Description: partial 16S ribosomal RNA
Rfam family: Bacterial small subunit ribosomal RNA
Source: RNAcentral